UAAAAUUUAUAAAAUUAGGUAGUAAAGAAGUUUCUGAAACCUAAAGAAUUUGGCGGUAUUUUAAAUAAUUGGAGGAACCUGUUAUUUAAUUGACAAUCCACAACAAAUCUUUCCUAAAUUUUAUUUGUAUAUCGUCGUUUUGAUAAUAUUUAAAAGUUAUAAUCAAUUACAAUAAAUUUUUAAAAAUCAGAUCAAGGUGCAGUAUAUUUAGGGUAUAAUGGGUUACAAUAUAAUUAUAUAGACGGAUAUAAAUUUGAAAAUAUAUUGAAGGUGGAUUCAAAAGUAAUAUUAAAAUAAAAUGUUAAUUUGAUUUAUAAUUUAAAAUAUGC
RNAcentral lists this ribosomal RNA (329 nucleotides) under Maaykuyak waueri. RNAcentral's name for it is "partial 12S ribosomal RNA". Lineage: Eukaryota; Metazoa; Arthropoda; Arachnida; Scorpiones; Vaejovidae. The record is from RNAcentral.